This 496-nucleotide ribosomal RNA is filed under the name uncultured bacterium. RNAcentral describes it as "partial 16S ribosomal RNA". It matches the Rfam family "Bacterial small subunit ribosomal RNA", at positions 28 to 507 of the family's 1533-position model. The record is from RNAcentral.
GAUGAACGCUGGCGGCGUGCCUAAUACAUGCAAGUCGAGCGAACAGACGAGGAGCUUGCUCCUCUGACGUUAGCGGCGGACGGGUGAGUAACACGUGGAUAACCUCCCUUUAUGACUGGGAUAACUUCGGGAAACCUGAGCUAAUACCGGAUAAUAUAUUGAACCGCAUGGUUCAAUAGUGAAAUACGGUUUUGCUGUCACUUAUAGAUGGAUCCGCUGCGCAUUAGCUAGUUGGUAAGGUAACGGUUUACCAAGGCAACGAUGAGUAGCCGACCUAAGAGGGGAAGCAGCCACGCUGGAAGAGGAAGAGGAGCAACAUUCUAAGGGAGGCACGAGUAGGAAAUCUACCGGAAUGAGCGGAAGCCAAAAGGGGGAAAGCCGCGAGAGCGAUAAGGAUCUUCGGAGCGUAAAACAUUAUAAUUAGGGAAGAACAAAUGUGUAAGUAACUAUGCAAGUCUUGACGGUACCUAAUCAGAAAGCCACGGCUAACUACGUG